This 499-nucleotide ribosomal RNA is filed under the name uncultured bacterium. RNAcentral's name for it is "partial 16S ribosomal RNA". It matches the Rfam family "Bacterial small subunit ribosomal RNA", at positions 28 to 507 of the family's 1533-position model. The record is from RNAcentral.
GACGAACGCUGGCGGCGUGCCUAAUACAUGCAAGUCGAGCGAAGUUUUUCUGGUGCUUGCACUAGAAAAACUUAGCGGCGAACGGGUGAGUAACACGUAAAGAACCUGCCUCAUAGACUGGGACAACUAUUGGAAACGGUAGCUAAUACCGGAUAACAGUAUUUCUCGCAUGAGAGAUAUUUAAAAGUUGGUUAUGCUAACACUAUGAGACGGCUUUGCGGUGCAUUAGCUAGUUGGUGGGGUAAAGGCCCACCAAGGCGACGAUGCAUAGCCGACCUGAGAGGGUGAUCGGCCACACUGGGACUGAGACACGGCCCAGACUCCUACGGGAGGCAGCAGUAGGGAAUCUUCCGCAAUGGGCGAAAGCCUGACGGAGCAACGCCGCGUGAGUGAAGAAGGAUUUCGGUUCGUAAAGCUCUGUUGUUAGGGAAGAAUGGAUAUGUAGUAACUAUACAUGUAAGAGACGGUACCUAACCAGAAAGCCACGGCUAACUACGUG